Molecule: ribosomal RNA, 397 nt
Filed under: uncultured bacterium
Lineage: Bacteria
Description: partial 16S ribosomal RNA
Rfam family: Bacterial small subunit ribosomal RNA
Source: RNAcentral
AUACGUAGGGGGCAAGCGUUAUCCGGAAUUACUGGGUGUAAAGGGAGCGCAGACGGCUAAGCAAGUCUGAUGUGAAAGUCAUGGGCUCAACCCAUGGAUUGCAUUGGAAACUGCGAAGCUGGAGUGUCGGAGGGGUAAGCGGAAUUCCUGGUGUAGCGGUGAGAUGCGUAGAUAUCAGGAGGAACACCGGUGGCGAAGGCGGCUUACUGGACGAUCACUGACGUUGAGGCUCGAAAGCGUGGGGAGCAAACAGGAUUAGAUACCCUGGUAGUCCACGCGGUAAACGAUGAAUACCAGGUGUCGGGGGGCGAAGCUCUUCGGUGCCGAAAGCAAACGCAGUAAGUAUUCCACCUGGGGAGUACGUUCGCAAGAAUGAAACUCAAAUGAAUUGGCGGGG